Molecule: long non-coding RNA, 455 nt
Filed under: Malus domestica (apple)
Lineage: Eukaryota; Viridiplantae; Streptophyta; Magnoliopsida; Rosales; Rosaceae
Description: long non-coding RNA (MDOM_LNC000090)
Source: RNAcentral
GUACGACAAGAUUGGGUGUAAUAUAAUUAUGCUCAAUUUUACUCUCUCAAUGCUAGCUGUACGAUAAUACGUUAGUCACCUACGAGUCGGAACUGCCUAUAGUGGUCUGCACGACAAGACUGUGCACCUAAUUGGAUCCAAUGUGAGCAUAUGGUGUGGGAGGUGACAUAAUAUACAGGCUUGUGCCAACUCUCUCUGGCUAAAUCGUAAUCACUCGGGGUGCAGGUUUAUGAGCUCAUCGUUUCUCAAUCACAUCUCAUAUAGACAACCAAACAUGUUCAUCACACUACUCAAUUCCUCAAAUAAACUUAUAUCUCAUUUAUUUCAUAUCAUAUAUUGUAUGGCUGCACCUAACAUUUCGUUAGGCUGCCUACGUACCCUUAACAGGGAUCAAGCCGUUAGUAGUUCACAUAAUCAAACAUAACUUACCUGAACUUACCUGUGCCUUCACAGCA